This 505-nucleotide ribosomal RNA is filed under the name uncultured bacterium. RNAcentral describes it as "partial 16S ribosomal RNA". It matches the Rfam family "Bacterial small subunit ribosomal RNA", at positions 28 to 507 of the family's 1533-position model. The record is from RNAcentral.
GACGAACGCUGGCGGCGUGCCUAAUACAUGCAAGUAGAACGCACAGUUUAUACCGUAGCUUGCUACACCAUAGACUGUGAGUUGCGAACGGGUGAGUAACGCGUAGGUAACCUGCCUGGUAGCGGUGGAUAACUAUUGGAAACGAUAGCUAAUACCUCAUAAUAUUCAUUAUUGCAUGAUAAUUAAUUGAAAGGUGCAAUUGCACCACUACCAGAUGGCCCUGCGUUGUAUUAGCUAGUAGGUGAGGUAACGGCUCACCUAGGCGACGAUACAUAGCCGAACUGAGAGGGUGAUCGGCCACACUGGGAAUGAGACACGGCCCAGAAUCCUACGGGAGGGAGCAGUAGGGAAUCUUUGGCAAGGGACGAAAGGCUGAACGAGGAACGCCGCGUGAGUGAAGAAGGGUUUCGGAUCGGAAAGCUCUGUUGUAAGAGAAGAACGGGGGUGGGAGUGGAAAGUGCACACUGUGACGGUAUCUCACCAGAAAGGGACGGCUAACUACGUG